CCUACGGGUGGCAGCAGUGGGGGAUAUUGCACAAUGGGGGGAACCCUGAUGCAGCGACGCCGCGUGGGUGAAGGAGCGUUUCGGCGCGUAAACCCCUUUCGGCAGGGAAGAGUAGAAGACGGUACCUGUUGAAUAAGCCACGGCUAACUACGUGCCAGCAGCCGCGGUAAUACGUAGGUGGCAAGCGUUGUCCGGAUUUACUGGGUGUAAAGGGCGUGUAGCCGGGUUGACAAGUCAGAUGUGAAAUCCUGCGGCUUAACCGCGGAACUGCAUUUGAAACUGUUGUUCUUGAGUACUGGAGAGGUAGACGGAAUUCCUAGGGUAGCGGUGAAAUGCGUAGAUAUAAGGAAGAACACCAGUGGCGAAGGCGG
RNAcentral lists this ribosomal RNA (371 nucleotides) under uncultured bacterium. Its description in RNAcentral is "partial 16S ribosomal RNA". It matches the Rfam family "Bacterial small subunit ribosomal RNA", at positions 338 to 724 of the family's 1533-position model. The record is from RNAcentral.